RNAcentral lists this ribosomal RNA (440 nucleotides) under uncultured Streptococcus sp. Its description in RNAcentral is "bacterial SSU rRNA". It matches the Rfam family "Bacterial small subunit ribosomal RNA", at positions 28 to 450 of the family's 1533-position model. The record is from RNAcentral. Lineage: Bacteria; Bacillati; Bacillota; Bacilli; Lactobacillales; Streptococcaceae.
GACGAACGCUGGCGGCGUGCCUAAUACAUGCAAGUAGAACGCACAGUUUAUACCGUAGCUUGCUACACCAUAGACUGUGAGUUGCGAACGGGUGAGUAACGCGUAGGUAACCUGCCUGGUAGCGGGGGAUAACUAUUGGAAACGAUAGCUAAUACCGCAUAAUAUUAAUUAUUGCAUGAUAAUUGAUUGAAAGGUGCAAAUGCAUCACUACCAGAUGGACCUGCGUUGUAUUAGCUAGUAGGUGAGGUAACGGCUCACCUAGGCGACGAUACAUAGCCGACCUGAGAGGGUGAUCGGCCACACUGGGACUGAGACACGGCCCAGACUCCUACGGGAGGCAGCUUUAUGUUAUCUUCGGCAAUGGACGAAAGUCUGACCGAGCAACGCCGCGUGAGUGAAGAGGGUUUUCUGAUCGUAAAGCCCUGUUGUAAAAAAAUAUU